UACAGAGGGGACAAGCGUUGUUCGGAAUUACUGGGCGUAAAGGGCGCGUAGGCGGCCUGUUAAGUCGGACGUGAAAUCCCUCGGCUCAACCGGGGAACUGCGUCCGAUACUGGCGGGCUUGAAUUCGGGAGAGGGAUGUGGAAUUCCAGGUGUAGCGGUGAAAUGCGUAGAUAUCUGGAGGAACACCGGUGGCGAAGGCGGCAUCCUGGACCGACAUUGACGCUGAGGCGCGAAAGCCAGGGGAGCAAACGGG
This 253-nucleotide ribosomal RNA is filed under the name uncultured bacterium. Its description in RNAcentral is "partial 16S ribosomal RNA". It matches the Rfam family "Bacterial small subunit ribosomal RNA", at positions 524 to 776 of the family's 1533-position model. The record is from RNAcentral.